CAGUCGAGGGGCAGCGGGGUAGUGCUUGCACUACUGCCGGCGACCGGCGCACGGGUGAGUAACACGUAUGGAACCUGCCCGCAGCAGGGGGAUAAGCGGAAGAAAUUCCGUCUAAUACCGCGUAACAACGUUGGGAGGCAUCUCCCGAUGUUUAAAGAUUUACCGGCUGCGGAUGGCCAUGCGGCGCAUUAGCUAGUCGGCGGGGUAACGGCCCACCGAGGCGACGAUGCGUAGGGGUUCUGAGAGGAAGGUCCCCCACACUGGUACUGAGACACGGACCAGACUCCUACGGGAGGCAGCAGUGAGGAAUAUUGGUCAAUGGCCGAGAGGCUGAACCAGCCAAGUCGCGUGAGGGAAGACGGCCCUACGGGUUGUAAACCUCUUUUGUCGGGGAGCAAAGCGAACCACGUGUGGUUCAUUGAGAGUACCCGAAGAAAAAGCAUCGGCUAACUCCGUGCCAGCAGCCGCGGUAAUACGGAGGAUGCGAGCGUUAUCCGGAUUUAUUGGGUUUAAAGGGUGCGCAGGCGGAGGUGCAAGUCGGCGGUCAAAUUGCGGGGCUCAACCCCGUACUGCCGUUGAAACUGCAUCCCUUGAGUGCGCGAGAAGUAUGCGGAAUGCGUGGUGUAGCGGUGAAAUGCAUAGAUAUCACGCAGAACUCCGAUUGCGAAGGCAGCAUACCGGCGCGCAACUGACGCUCAUGCACGAAAGCGUGGGUAUCGAACAGGAUUAGAUACCCUGGUAGUCCACGCAGUAAACGAUGAACACUAACUGUUCGGCCAGAAUGAUGGCUGAGUGGUACAGCGAAAGCGUUAAGUGUUC
This 819-nucleotide ribosomal RNA is filed under the name uncultured bacterium. RNAcentral describes it as "bacterial SSU rRNA". It matches the Rfam family "Bacterial small subunit ribosomal RNA", at positions 59 to 869 of the family's 1533-position model. The record is from RNAcentral.